UUGAACGCUGGCGGCAGGCCUAACACAUGCAAGUCGAACGGUAACAGGAAGAAGCUUGCUUCUUUGCUGACGAGUGGCGGACGGGUGAGUAAUGUCUGGGAAACUGCCUGAUGGAGGGGGAUAACUACUGGAAACGGUAGCUAAUACCGCAUAACGUCGCAAGACCAAAGAGGGGGACCUUCGGGCCUCUUGCCAUCGGAUGUGCCCAGAUGGGAUUAGCUAGUAGGUGGGGUAACGGCUCACCUAGGCGACGAUCCCUAGCUGGUCUGAGAGGAUGUCCAGCCACACUGGAACUGAGACACGGUCCAGACUCCUACGGGAGGCAGCAGUGGGGAAUAUUGCACAAUGGGCGCAAGCCUGAUGCAGCCAUGCCGCGUGUAUGAAGAAGGCCUUCGGGUUGUAAAGUACUUUCAGCGGGGAGGAAGGGAGUAAAGUUAAUACCUUUGCUCAUUGACGUUACCCGCAGAAGAAGCACCGGCUAACUCCGUG
This 489-nucleotide ribosomal RNA is filed under the name uncultured bacterium. RNAcentral describes it as "partial 16S ribosomal RNA". It matches the Rfam family "Bacterial small subunit ribosomal RNA", at positions 30 to 507 of the family's 1533-position model. The record is from RNAcentral.